Molecule: long non-coding RNA, 669 nt
Filed under: Glycine max (soybean)
Lineage: Eukaryota; Viridiplantae; Streptophyta; Magnoliopsida; Fabales; Fabaceae
Description: long non-coding RNA (GMAX_LNC004588)
Source: RNAcentral
UCUCUCAAGGGUUCCAAACACAAAGCCACCAUUCACUGUUGGCCAACUCAAGAAAGCCAUUCCACCGCACUGCUUUCAGCGUUCCCUCCUCACUUCAUUGUCCUAUGUUGUUUAUGACCUUUCAUUGGCUUUCAUUUUCUACAUUGCCACCACCUACUUCCACCUCCUCCCUCACCCCUUUUCCCUCAUUGCAUGGCCAAUCUAUUGGGUUCUCCAAGGUUGCAUUCUUACUGGCGUGUGGGUGAUUGCUCACGAGUGUGGUCACCAUGCCUUCAGCAAGUACCCAUGGGUUGAUGAUGUUAUGGGUUUGACCGUUCACUCAGCACUUUUAGUCCCUUAUUUCUCAUGGAAAAUAAGCCAUCGCCGCCACCACUCCAACACGGGUUCCCUUGACCGUGAUGAAGUGUUUGUCCCAAAACCAAAAUCCAAAGUUGCAUGGUACACCAAGUACCUGAACAACCCUCUAGGAAGGGCUGCUUCUCUUCUCAUCACACUCACAAUAGGGUGGCCUUUGUAUUUAGCCUUCAAUGUCUCUGGCAGACCCUAUGAUGGUUUUGCUAGCCACUACCACCCUUAUGCUCCCAUAUAUUCAAAUCGUGAGAGGCUUUUGAUCUAUGUCUCUGAUGUUGCUUUGUUUUCUGUGACUUACUUGCUCUACCGUGUUGCAAC